Molecule: ribosomal RNA, 405 nt
Filed under: Alces alces (Eurasian elk)
Lineage: Eukaryota; Metazoa; Chordata; Mammalia; Artiodactyla; Cervidae
Description: partial 16S ribosomal RNA
Rfam family: Bacterial large subunit ribosomal RNA (bases 163-405)
Source: RNAcentral
ACUAACCCUAGCCCAUAAAUUUAUUUACACUAAACUACCAAAACUAUUAUAAAUAAAACAUUCACCUAUUAUUAAAAGUAUAGGAGAUAGAAAUUUUAAAUAUGGCGCUAUAGAGAAAGUACCGCAAGGGAAUGAUGAAAGAUAAAAAAUUAAAGUAUGAAAAAGCAAAGAUUAGCCCUUGUACCUUUUGCAUAAUGAGUUAACUAGUAAAAACUUAACAAAACGAAUUUUAGCUAAGUACCCCGAAACCAGACGAGCUACUUAUGAACAAUUUAUCAAGAACCAACUCAUCUAUGUGGCAAAAUAGUGAGAAGAUUUAUAAGUAGAGGUGAAACGCCUAACGAGCCUGGUGAUAGCUGGUUGUCCAGAAAAUGAAUAUCAGUUCAGCUUUAAAAAUACCAAAAA